GAUGAAGAACGCAGCGAAAUGCGAUAAGUAAUGUGAAUUGCAGAAUUCAGUGAAUCAUCGAAUCUUUGAACGCACAUUGCGCCCCCUGGUAUUCCGGGGGGAAUGCCUGUCCGAGCGUCAUUACAACCCUCAAGCUCAGCUUGGUGUUGGGCCCCACCGCCCCGGCGGGCCCUAAAGUCAGUGGCGGUGCCGUCCGGCUCCGAGCGUAGUAAUUCUUCUCGCUCUGGAGGUCCGGUCGUGUGCUCGCCAGCAACCCCCAAUUUUUUUCAGGUUGACCUCGGAUCAGGUAGGGAUACCCGCUGAACUUAAGCAUAUCAAUAAGCGGAGGA
This 329-nucleotide unclassified non-coding RNA is filed under the name soil metagenome. RNAcentral's name for it is "partial contains 5.8S ribosomal RNA, internal transcribed spacer 2, and large subunit ribosomal RNA". The stretch from base 1 to 120 matches the Rfam family "5.8S ribosomal RNA", at positions 35 to 154 of the family's 154-position model. The record is from RNAcentral.